Uloborus diversus is the source of this 790-nucleotide long non-coding RNA. RefSeq lists it as uncharacterized. Lineage: Eukaryota; Metazoa; Arthropoda; Arachnida; Araneae; Uloboridae. The transcript has 3 exons. The record is from RefSeq and is a predicted model, not a curated record.
CGAAAAAAGUCGUUUAAUGUCGAAAGAAAAUAUUGUGACACCGACAUACUUCGACAUCAAUCUAUAAAAUAAUCCCCAUAUGGUUUUCUAAACAUAGUUCUGUGCCGAAAUAUGUUUUUAUUUCGACAUUUUUUUAAAAAUUUCAUAUUUAAGCUGUUUUAAAUCAAAUGAGGAAAAUAAAUAUACUUUUGCUUUGGUAUAUUUUCAUUGGCAGUUUAUUAAAAGAAAAAAAAAACUUUGAAGCUGUAGAUAUCGAAACAAUCACUAAAAGAAAUGCCUCGAAGUUUUUACUGCUUAUUUUUACGUUUGAAAUCAAUAUGUCAUUUUAUUAUACGAAAAUAUAGCGAUAUUCUUAUUUGUAUAGAAAUCAGUAGUAAAAUAGAAAAAAUUGCAAACAUCGAAAAACGUUUUUUGACCAAUUUCGACGUGAAUCUGUAUAACUUUAACCAAGACCACUUACGGAACCGGAUGUCACGUGAUCAUGAUGACGCUACUUUCAUUCUGUAUUUGUAUGGCGGCAAACGGCAUGGCAACUUUGUGAAAGAAACAUCGCCAUUGAUAAGUUGGAUUCAGCAUAUUGAAACAUCAUUUUGCACUACAAUUUAAAUUUGUUACCUAGUUAGUGUUUGAAAAAUCUGCAGGAAAGUUAGUUUUGGGAUAUACUCAACAAGCAAUAAUGUUGCUGCAGACCCGGACAAAAAUGCUGGUGCUCCCUAUGCUAUUUCAAUACGUGAAAACAAGAUUUGGUUAAGUAUUCUGAAGACUUCAGUGUGGAAAGGAUUGAGUGCUG